RNAcentral lists this ribosomal RNA (16 nucleotides) under Serendipita sp. RNAcentral describes it as "partial 28S large subunit". Lineage: Eukaryota; Fungi; Basidiomycota; Agaricomycetes; Sebacinales; Serendipitaceae. The record is from RNAcentral.
GACACUACUCUGACAA